This 84-nucleotide transfer RNA is filed under the name Candidatus Iainarchaeum sp. RNAcentral's name for it is "tRNA-Leu". It matches the Rfam family "tRNA". Rfam says of the family: Transfer RNA (tRNA) molecules are approximately 80 nucleotides in length. Their secondary structure includes four short double-helical elements and three loops (D, anti-codon, and T loops). The record is from RNAcentral. Lineage: Archaea; Nanobdellati; Candidatus Iainarchaeota; Candidatus Iainarchaeia; Candidatus Iainarchaeales; Candidatus Iainarchaeaceae.
GCAGGGGUAGCGAAGCGGUCAAACGCACUGGCCUUAGAAGCCAGCGGCUCAGUGCCUUCGCAGGUUCGAAUCCUGCCCCCUGCA